CACCCAACACUCACCGCACCACAGAGGAAGAUGAAGGUCGCAAUGCUCAGCGUGGCCCUGCUCUUCACCAUCCUGCUGUGCACUCCGGAAGAUGCUCAGGCAUUCGUGAAAGAAGGUGAAAAUUAUGAGAGAGAGGUGCAGUUUCUCAAAUUCGGGAAAGUGAAGAGAGCUGAGCCCCUUAUGGAUGACAAGCUGAUGGAAUUUGUGCGCCAGAAACGCCUGGCUGCAGCUGUUGAAGUCUAGGACUGAAGAUGCUGGUGGCAGUCUGGACCUGUCUCCCUCCAGUGGCAUGAGGAGAUGAUCAUCCCUGGAUGACCCCACCUGUUCCCCUGUGAGCCCUGGGCCAUUUCCCUCUAACGAUCAAUAAACCCCUUCAGCAAUGCUA
This is a long non-coding RNA of Tyto alba (common barn owl), 385 nucleotides long. RefSeq lists it as uncharacterized. Lineage: Eukaryota; Metazoa; Chordata; Aves; Strigiformes; Tytonidae. The record is from RefSeq and is a predicted model, not a curated record. The transcript is spliced from 5 exons.